GACGAACGCUGGCGGCGUGCUUAACACAUGCAAGUCGAACGGAAAGGCCCUGCGUUUGUUGGGUUCUCGAGUGGCGAACGGGUGAGUGUCACGUGAGUAACCUGCCCUUGAAUUUGGGAUAACUUCAGGAAACUGGGGCUAAUACCGGAGAGGAUCUCCUGCAGCAUGGUGGGGGUUGGAAAGUUUCGGCGGUUGUGGAUGGACUCGCGGCUUAUCAGCUUGUUGGUGGGGUAGGUGCUUACCAAGGCUUUGACGGGUAGCCGGCCUGAGAGGGUGACCGGCCACAAUGGGACUGAGGUACGGCGCAGACGGCUACGGGAGGCAGCAGUGGGGAAUAUUGCACAAUGGGCGGAAGCCUGAUGCAGAGACGCCGCGUGCGGGAUGACGGCCUUCGGGUUGUAAACCGCUUUCGCCUGUGACGAAGCGUGAGUGACGGUAAUGGGUAAAGAAGCACCGGCUAACUACGUG
This 468-nucleotide ribosomal RNA is filed under the name uncultured bacterium. RNAcentral's name for it is "partial 16S ribosomal RNA". It matches the Rfam family "Bacterial small subunit ribosomal RNA", at positions 28 to 507 of the family's 1533-position model. The record is from RNAcentral.